CGGAGACACGGUGCCGGAUAACGUCCGGCGGGGGCGACCCCAGGGAAAGUGCCACAGAAAGCAAACCGCUCCGCCUGCGGAGUAAGGGUGAAAGGGUGGGGUAAGAGCCCACCGCGGACAUGGCGACAUGGACGGCACGGCAAACCCCACCGGGAGCAAGACCGAAUAGGGAUGACACGGGCGCGCGAGCGCCCAGCCGGUUUCCAGGCCCGUCAUCCGGGUGGGUUGCACGAGGCUGUGCGCAAGCGCAGUCCCAGAUGAAUGGCUGCCACGUUUCGCCUCUUCGGAGGUGGAGC
RNAcentral lists this unclassified non-coding RNA (296 nucleotides) under Sinorhizobium americanum. RNAcentral describes it as "partial ribonuclease P RNA". It matches the Rfam family "Bacterial RNase P class A", at positions 62 to 334 of the family's 367-position model. Rfam says of the family: Ribonuclease P (RNase P) is a ubiquitous endoribonuclease, found in archaea, bacteria and eukarya as well as chloroplasts and mitochondria. Lineage: Bacteria; Pseudomonadati; Pseudomonadota; Alphaproteobacteria; Hyphomicrobiales; Rhizobiaceae. The record is from RNAcentral.